UGCAAUAUGAAGUAUAAAUACUCGAAGAUAUAUUAAGAAUUGAUUAGUUUUUUUUUGUGCAUCGUACGACCUGCAUAAUUGAUUUUACUUCCCAAGAAAAACGGUGACAAAAUAUUGUCAAGAUGAAGUUCAUUAUUUUAAUUAUUUCCAUUGUGAUUGCUAUGGCUAUAGUUCCUUCUCAAGGAUGUCGUUAUUUGUGGGGGGGCUGUUCCCAGGAUAGUGAUUGCUGUGAUCACUUGUAUUGUAAUACUAUAACCACUAAAGUGUGUGAAUGGGAUUUCACAUUUGG
This is a long non-coding RNA of Wasmannia auropunctata (little fire ant), 289 nucleotides long. RefSeq lists it as uncharacterized. The transcript has 3 exons. Lineage: Eukaryota; Metazoa; Arthropoda; Insecta; Hymenoptera; Formicidae. The record is from RefSeq and is a predicted model, not a curated record.